CUUAAGGAACAGAAGUUGUGUGCAAUGCUGAAAACAAGAUUAUAUAGAGAGUGAACAGGGCGUAAAUAACGUCGGUGCUUUUCAAACUAUUCUUUAAAUUAAGCUGCACUGGUGUAUUCUAACACGAUUCUGGUGCGAAGACAUGAAGCAUCGAAGGAUACAGCAUUAAAGACCUUGUAUUCGUAAAGCGUUGAUAAAAAUAUUGAGCUAUGGGACUACAUAAACUAUAAUUGACAAUUUGGAAAAGCAAAACUUCAGAACUCUAGAGUGUCUUUGUGCGUUAAAUAUUUAUGUUUGAGAAUUCCUGUUUUUGAAUGGAAAAAUAUGUAUGUACUGUUAACUUGCAAUGAUAUUGACAUGUUUAUUCGAAAAAGUUACACACACAUACUAGUAUUGAAAAUGUUAACCUAAAAACAAAAGGUGUGCAUACAUACUUUAAUAAUCUACGAUUCGAGUUAUAACGUAGUAUAUAUGCUAAUUAAUAACGCUCGUGUGCAUAUCUAACCAGGCAAGUGAGACGGAAAAGAAAUGAGCGUCUGUUCGGCAACCGCAGCGGCAUCUCAGCGUCCCGUCGGCCGUCGGGACUCCCGUAAGUCCGCCUCCCGUUCAAGCGCCUCCGAGACGUAUUUCUGUGCGAAGAAGGGCGGAGUAGGGCAGUAUGGGCAACGAAAAUGCAGCAGUGCAUCGUCCUCAAAAUCAUCAAGUCUGGCGCUUUGCUGCGCAAUUUCUGUCGUCAUGAUUUGCAUCGGCAUUCCACAUAUUGCAUUUUUAAACUUUGUAAUAACGGCAGGAUGAAAUUGGUGAAAAAUAUGUGUUUUACUAUUAUGAACGUUUAUCUUAAGAAAAUGUGCAAAAUGUUCUGGGAUCAAUGAAGAAGAUUAACGCAAAUCUAUGUAGGCGAUCGAUGUGUUAUCCGAUAUUAUAGUACUAUAGAAACUUCAAAAUGAAUUGCAUACAUAAUUGUUAAAAAAUGUGUAGAAAAUAUGCACCGUAUUUUGCCAACAUAAUGAAAAUCAUAGCCUGUUUUAUACAAUAUGAACACAUCUUCAGUCUUUAUAAUAUUAUGUUAUUCAAGAUGAAUAAGAAGAUAAAUUGAAAAAAGUACUAUACACAUUAAAACUUGCGUUUCUUUUUUUAUGUAACAGUGCAUUAUGCCCGAUAUGUGUAAAUAUGUUUAAAAGUAAAACUUUUUUUAUAUUUAGUUUUAACAUAUUUUAUUUCACGAACAAACAUGGUAUACAUGUGCAUAGCAUUUACAAUUGCAACUGAGUCACAUAGUUCAAUUUAAUUUUAUCAUGCUUACUUCUUUUAUUAGCAUGGAGGUAUUACAUAUUGGAUUACUCAAUAGUCUGUAAAGUCUUCACAUACAUAUACAAACAUGUAUAUUAAACAUUUUUAAUUUCUCACGUGUUUGCGCUUUUUUGUGAACAGUUAAUAAAAAGACCAUUUAAAACAAGAUUUUUUUUGUUUAAAGUAUAAUCUGAUUGGUGUUUAAUACAUUUUAAUAGAAACUAAUUUCGAUACACGAAAAGUGAUACGAAUUGGUAUGUUAUCCGAAUUGAAUGUGACGAUGCAUGAAUGGAGUAUAACACUUAUAUAAUCGAUUGAAAUACAUCCCAGAUGUCCGUUUAUUCAUUUCCUACCUUGUCUGAGCAUCUAAUUAUUAUACAAAGAACUUUCAUUAGUGAAUCGUGUAUAUUAAGAACAAAUUUCCCGUGUUUCCUGCAAAAAAACGAAUCUUAUAUCUGGUGAGAACAGUAUUAGCUAUUGUAAAAUAAAACAUGUGCAAACAUGCCAUCCAUUGUUUGUUUUCGAACGACUGUCCAUUCAGAAAGCUGAACCAUCAAGAAUUCAAUAAUUAAAUACAUCUAUAAUAAUUCAUAACCAAUUGCAAUUGAGGAAGUCCGGCACUAUUUCAGAGUAACAUUUAGUAAGAAGUCUUGCCAUUUACACUUUGCUAAAUGUGGUUAAUUAACUUAGAAGUUUUAUUUAUAGCAAUAAUGAUUGAUAUUUAUCAAUAGUAUCAUAUAAUCCUUAUAUGAGAUAAUAGCAUAAACGUAGAAAGAAACAGAUCUGUAAGUACCUUGUAACUACGCAAUAAACAUUGUAUGUAUUAAUAAUGUCCAUACAUACAACGCUCUUCUGACAACACUUUAUAUUUGUGUGAACCAUAAAUUACCUUAAAACAACUAUAUGGUAUAGUUGUAUGAUAGUUUAAACAAACUUUUCCUGCAGACAAUAUCUUUUUGUAAUAAAUGUUCUCGUUCGUUUAAUUAUUUGUGUAUAUUUGCAAUAUCCUGGUAUGUAUCAAGGUUUCCUAGUUUUAUUUGCUGCCGGUUACCUUGUUAUUGAAAUUUGUUAUUCGCAUUACGCUGGCAACUGUUGUACCUCUAAUGAGUUAUAUGUUAAACAUAUGUAUAUACUGCAUAACCAUGUAAUUUGCACUCGGAAAUAAAAUCCUAUACAAUACUACAACAUCCCCGACUGUGAGUGUAUACACACGUGUGCUAUUGUACUUGAUAUUCGGUUGUAUUAUUUUAACACAAAAUAUACUAUUGUGUUAUCUUGUUUUACUUCAUUGUAUAAUAGUUCAUGUUUUAUAAUGAGCAGAAUAAUGACCUGACCGUGUGAAUGAUACUAUGUAAAGAAUGCAUAAUUUAAAAAGAAAAUGAAGAUCAUUUAGGAAUAUUUAAUAUUUUUCGACGCAUGUUUCAAAGUAGCUACACAUAAAAAGAAAACUUUAUUUAAUAUUGAUUCAUACAUCAAACAGAAGUAAAUAUGUAUGUUGGAUUUGUAUCUUUGCCCAAUUGUUUUUCGAGACUAGAUCUAGAUGACAAAGUUCGCAAAUGCCUUUUUUAUUAAAGUUAUUUACAUGUUUUAUAACCAUAUUUAAUAUUAUUAUAAAAACAUAAUUUUGAAUUUAGAGGGCUUACUUUGAUUGCAAUAUGCAAAUGUAUAUUCUCUGUCAAUAUCCGACAGCAGCGGUUACAUAGUCUAACUUUCUGUAUAAGGCUAUAUGUUAACAACAACUUGCUGCUCUUUAUUUUCAUUUUUCUCUCUAAAUAAGAACUGUAAAUGUUUUUUAAACUAAUUACAAUACCAGAUACAACGUAUGGUCAAACUAUUAGUCUAACAAUAAAUUUAUAGUUGUACACAGGAAUGUUUGUUCGAACUCAUAACGAUCAUUAUUAACUGAUGUAUGUAAUAAACUAAACAAUUUC
Molecule: long non-coding RNA, 3221 nt
Organism: Dreissena polymorpha
Lineage: Eukaryota; Metazoa; Mollusca; Bivalvia; Myida; Dreissenidae
Exons: 2
Source: RefSeq, a predicted model, not a curated record